RNAcentral lists this ribosomal RNA (164 nucleotides) under Scrophularia donetzica. RNAcentral describes it as "5.8S ribosomal RNA". It matches the Rfam family "5.8S ribosomal RNA". Rfam says of the family: 5.8S ribosomal RNA (5.8S rRNA) is a component of the large subunit of the eukaryotic ribosome. The record is from RNAcentral. Lineage: Eukaryota; Viridiplantae; Streptophyta; Magnoliopsida; Lamiales; Scrophulariaceae.
AUAACRACUCUCGGCAACGGAUAUCUAGGCUCUYGCAUCGAUGAAGAACGUAGCGAAAUGCGAUACUUGGUGUGAAUUGCAGAAUMCCGUGAACCAUCGAGUUUUUGAACGCAAGUUGCGCCCGAAGCCAUUAGGCUGAGGGCACGUCUGCCUGGGSGUCACGC